AUAGUCACUGCAUUCUCUGGGUUGACAUUUAUCAUUUGUGUCACUAGGCGAUUAAGAAAAGGUAAGUGAAUUUAACUUCAUAUGAAAAUAAAAGAAGUAUAAAGUUAAAAAGAAAGAAAGAAAGAGCCUCACAGGAAAUUGAGUGUAAUAGAUUCAAUUGAAGCAGGAGGCCAAGCUUAAAGUUCUAUAGACAAUCAACCCAGGACACACUUCCAUUAAAGCAGGCUGGCUGACUUAUUUUUCAUUAGGCAAAUUUGGAAAAUGCCUGUUAUCUUGAAGACAUCUUGCUAGGGGGAUGACAACUAACUGAGAUGUUUACUCUUAUUUAAUUGUGAGAAAGGGAGGCAUAAUCUCUGUCCUCUAAGCACCUACAUGCCUCUGAUUUCAGUUUUACAGUUUCACUGGGAAGUGAACCUAACAUCCACCAAGGUUUUCAGGUGCUGCUCUCAAAAGCCUGACUUCUUGAAGAGUCCCUGUCUUGUCUGUUUCUGGACUGUCCCCGGGGAAACCGCCCACCCUCUCCCUGCUGUCUAUCACCAAGGAAGGCCACAGCUGUAACCAAGUACUCCACGUGCACCGCCCUCCAGCCUGGGCUGGAGAGGAGAAGGCAGAGCAGGCCUGCCCUGAGCAGCUACUGUCUGCUUCCUGGACUCAGAGUGGAACAGCAGCAGAGAGGCACCCAGUGUCACUCCCCGUUGCCCCUGCAGGGCCCACCCCUGAAGGUGGGCAACAGUCUGCAGCAGGCCUUGGGUGUGCACUGCCACAUGUGGCCAACUCCCUUGGCAGAACCGUUCACAGCUACAACUCACAGGCACUGGGCAGCUUUUAAGUUACACCUGUUUCAAGUUCAGGGGCCAUGGACCGCCUCAAAGCAAGUGCGGACCAACUCCUCUGUGCUAACUCUCUGUGGCAUCAAUGGGUUGACAUUUAAGUUUCCCUUCCUUCCAGUAAGGCAGCAUGUGUUCUGUCACUGGAUGUGGGAUGCCAUGCACAGUGGCAAUUCCAGGAUUCUUCUCCUCCAGCCCCUGGUCUUGCACUCUGAUCCAAUCUUUCAUCCACAGUUAGGGAGAUGCCAGAUUCAUUUUCUCACCAACUUGAAAGACAGUGGAGGGGGCACAACCUGGGAGGAAGAACCUCAGUAACUAAAACCUGAGAGCACUGAGCAGACACAGUGUCCUCCCUGCUGCUGUGAAUUCCGGGGGACUGGAUUCCACCAUCACAUUCCCUCAGUACUUGGGGAAAGAAGAGUGACAGCUGCCUGUCACCAGUGACCAUUCCUUCCAUGGAGACGUCCAAGCCUGACCUCUACUGUCCUUUCUUUCUUCCUGCCUUGGGUGAUGAGGGCAGAGCCAGGGGCUGGAGAAUAGAGUGUUAGUUACACCUGUGCCCUGCCCUGGGAUGUGCCCUGCCCUGGAUGUGGAACUUUAAGGACUUUGGGGAUAAAAGUCACCUUUGUAAGGAGGAUGCUUGUCUCCAAAUUCUUAGCUUUUAGCCCAAAAUUCAAAGAAUAGAAUCAAGGUCAUAUGUUUUUCACGAGGGGUGAGCUGGCUAAGACUCUUGUGUGAGUAGGUGAGAAAGGCAGUAGGAUUGUUUUUUAAGUUUUUACCUGGGAGUCAUUUCUGUACAAGAUCUCAGUCUGAUAACUUGAAAACUGCAUGCCCUGCUGUGGGAAUCAGUAUGGAGCAAGCAGGAAACAGAUAACGGGCACUUAGGCUAGUUACAGUUAUGCCACCAAGAGCCAGAGCCCCAGAGAUCCCUGACUCUGUGGGAAGUCAGAGUUAAUGCAACUCUUAGUUGUCUCCAUUUGUGAAUCUUCUACCAGGAUCUCUGACUUUCAUGUAAGUGGCUUUCUCUUCCAAAGUUUUAAUUGUAAGUUAUUUCUUUAACAUGUGGAGAAUAUAUUGCUACAGAGGCAAUGCUGGACAUGAUGGCUUGGUCUUCUUCAGUCUAAAAUCACAGAGCCUCAGCUGAUGUGUUUAGAAUUAGGAGUGAAAAAUAAUAAUUUGUAUUCAUAUACAGGAUGCUUCUGAGAAUCUUUUAGAUUGUUAGGUUCAAAAAUCCGGGGAAAGGCAGCAGAUGAUGAGCAGCUGCCCUGAGAUGUGGACUGACAGGUGGCUGGGUAUAGUUGGUGUCCCCAGCAGGCAGUUCAGCCCAGAUGUCUGUGUUUGUGAGCAGCACAGUGAGGGAUCGAGCCAUGAGGCUCUGCAUCCAUAGCCUGCUGUGCCUGGGAACCUACCACGGUCGAUUGAAACUGCACACCAAGCUAAAGGGGCCUUGGGGGCCUCUAGACACAUAGGGGUCCACCUAACAAUUGCAUAAUAUAUUUCAAAACAUAGUUUUGGGGAUGGGAAUCUUCCUUUCCCGUUACUUUAAAAAUUGAAAUUGUCUACUCUUUGUUGAUGCCAUUUCUCUUUUCUAUUUUUAGGCACGAAAUCUCAGAUACGGUAAGUUUUAUCAGUGAGUAAUUUCCAUAUUUGUUGAUCCUUUUUCUAAGUAGAAAAUGCUUCUUAAAAUAUUUUUUAUUGUUAUGGCUAGUCACAUUAAUUCCAUGGUUAACACCAUGGGAGUAUCAUCUAAAUGAAGUUUUUAUGUAAAGUAAUAAAUUGCUAGCUUCUUAAAAUUUGGGUGUCUUUUUUUUUUUUUGGUGCUUAUAAAGCAAAAUAUAUGAAUGUGUAAAUAACUCUCUAUUAGGAAGAAUUGUUGUGUAAAGGGAGCUUUUCCUGAUUGUCCCUGAAGUUUCUUUAAGUGUUAGAAGCAUUGUGUUGUUUUUUUCUGUUCUGUGUGAACACACAUGGAGACUUCACAUGGUCACUGAGAAACACUCCAUCCCACAAGCAUUUAUUAAGCAACUAGUAUACAUCACACCUUAGGAAGGAAGUACAACCCCAGACCCCAAAUUUAAUAUAUUAAAUCUUUUUUUUCUAACUCUGGUAUUGAAACUCUAGUGCUUUAAUUGGAGAAAUAUUGCAGAAUGUUGAGAAGAGUUGAGGACACAUGGAAAUUCAUGGCCCACCUGGCAGCACUGAUGACGGCCGGAGAUUUCAGGUUUACGAGUUUAGUGGCUUGCUUUGGAAUUUUAGAGAGGCGAGUGUAGGAGAAAACAACUGUGGAGAUGAGACUUGGUGAGGUACUCAGUGCCCAGCUGGACAACACAGCUGCUUUUAAAAUGCUGUGUGUGAGGGCUGGGGAUGUAGCUCAGUUGGUAGAGUGCUUGCCUCCUAUGCACAAGGCCCUGGGUUCAAUCCCCAGCACCACAAACAAACAAACAAACAAACAAACAAAAAUGCUGCAAAUGAAGCCAGAUGAUUCCUGAAGAAGCUGGGGCUUGCUCAACCACCCAACCAGCCACCAAUCAUCACUGAGAAAAUCUUAGCAUUCAGGGGGCUGUAGCUCACAGUGCAGCAGAGAAGCCGGGGAGACGGGGCACCAAGGCCAGAUCCGGAAGCUGUGUAUAAGGCACACUAGGAGCGGGGUCUCAUGCUGAGCUCUGUGGGAUGUCACCAGGGACACUGAUGCAGUGUGUGCAUCUCACAUCUUGUGGGGAUCACCCUGCCUGGAGUGCAGACCCAGAGGUGGGUGAGUCUGAGGCAAAAACACCAGUCUGGAGACAUUUGGAGUUAUGAGGUUAAAGCUCAGGGUGCCUGUUUAGAGAAACCACAGUGAGGCUGGACUCAUGAGGCGACAAGAGGUAGGAUCAACUGAAUGUGGUGCGUAAUUGGUAGAGAGACACACACAGAGAGAGAGAGCCAGAAGAGUCAAAGAGGCUGCCUGAGUCCGACCUGGGAACUACUGGCGGGGGGGGGGGGGGGGUGUUUACCGCUGAGACAUGAACAUAAGAGAAGGAGCAAUUUGGGACGUGAAGAUCUCAAGCUCAGGUUUGUACAUGCUGAGCUUCAGGUGUCUGAGGGUCACCCACAGUGUGUUGGUUCUCUCCAGCACAAAGGGCAGGAGAUAUGGAUUUGGGGGUUCUCUCAUUUCAGGAGGUGACGGCCAUCACAGGAGGGUGCACAGUAACCCAGGGACAGUGGGAGCGUGGGAAAGGAAGAGGACCUGGGAGAGGGUGGCAGCCAGAGGAGCAUCAGUAUCUAAGUCAGCUAAGGAAGGAGGAGAAGGAGACGGGCCCAAGCAAGGGGAGGGAGACUCAGGGGCCACAAAUCUAGGGAAGAAGAAAAUGGAAAUAGUCUCGAUGUGGCUGGAAGAACAGCAAGUUUCUAGGGGCUAUAACAUGGCAUCCCUGGGAGAGCGUUCCCAGUGCAGACACAAGAUGAAGUCAGAGGGCAAAAGGCUGAGGAGUCCUUGGGAUGAGGAGGGGAGGUGGAACAUGUGUUUAUGUAUUUAAAGUCUGGCUCUGAAGGAGGGUUGUGGGGUAAGUGAAUGGGGACAUAGAUCAGGGGCUCCCUUCUAUUUUGGUAUUGUGGUGUCUCCUACAUGAAAGAUGCAGUUUUCCCUCCGGUGCACCUGGAAGUAUUUCUUUGUGAUUAAAAACUUUUUCUGCUCCCUUUUGCCCCAUACUCAUCACCCUAUCCCCAGCCCACUGUUCUUGUGUGUGUGUGUGUGUGUGCUUUUUUCUUUUGGAUUGGUGCUGGUUGAUUUUGGUGCUGGUGCUUUACCCCGGCUACAUCCCAGCAUCUCACUAAGGUGCUGAGGCUGACCUUGAAUUUGCUAUCCUUCUGCCUCAGCCUCCUCAGUCACUGGGAUCACAGCCAUGUGUCACUGUGCCCUGCAGCUCAGUCUUUUGCUACCUUCUCUGUGGGGACUCUCAAGUCCAUAGAGUAAAGGACGGCUCUGGAAUGAUACCUGACUUGCUCAAUCCUGAUUCUUUGUUUCCAGUUUCAAUUCAGUGUCUUGCAUGUCCACACACACUUAAAUACAGUAAAAGUUGACACAUGUGUGACUACAGUCUCAGUUUUAAUGAAGAUCAAACCUCAUGCCCUCUGUCCUCCAUAUAUCUGAGGGGCGACACUCACAUAGAAAAUUCGUAUUGAUGGUAUUAUUGCUCUCCAACUGCAGUAAAUCAAAGGGCUCUGCUCACGCUGAAGGGUCCCACUGCACUGUAGCUCACCUGUGUAAGAGAGGCCCUCCUAUCCAGCCACCUGCAGCCUGCCCGCCUCCUCGGCCAUCUCCCUUCUCAGCUGGCCAACUUCUACACCAGCAUCUCAGCACCAAACAAAGGAAGGGACACGGUGAUGGCCAGAGCUGUUUGGAAGUUGGGGGUCUGUCUCUUCCUGUCUCUUCCUGUGAGACCCAUCCACACGUCUGAGUCCCUGCUUCUUUCUGAGCACCAUUGUUAACACACAAGAAGCCUCACUGAAAUGCUGGCUGCAGGUGGCAUCUCCUCAGCUGUGCAGGAGAGGGACUCCCUGACUCCUGCUGAAUGCCCCUUCCCCUGCCCCAGGUCUCCUACCACCCCCCUCGCCCUCCUUCUUCACUAGCUCUCACCUUGGCCAGCCAGAGGCAGUCUCCCCUCCCUGGCGUCCCUCUACAAGGUCAGUCUGUAUCGGGCAAUUUUGGACUUAAGUAUGAUCUAAACUUCUAACCCAGUCUGUUUUUAAAAUUGUAAUAUGUUCUGAUUUCUUUCCAAUAAAAUUGGAUGCUCCUUAAAGGCAGAGAUUGUGCCAGAUCUCCAGAAAGUCCAGUUGGUUGCUUGACCCUCGGUAGAUGUGUGUCCAAAUGAAUCAGAGAGAGCAUCAGAAAGUGCGCCCUUAGGGCAAGUUGCAGCAAACCUCUCUCCAUGGCAUGCAAUGAGACUUCACCUGAUCAGGGCUGGAUUCUCAGGAGAGAACAGGCUCCAUCAGAACCUAGUCAGAAAUACCUCCUUGCCCCAUGGCCAGACCAGCCUUGCUAUGACUUUGUGCCUCUUAAGAGAAGCAGCUUUGGGUAAGGAUUGCACUUUCCCUUCCAGAGUCAUUUCAGGUUCUGCAUUACAGCAAAGGCUAGUGCCAGAGGCUCUCCAUCUUGUACAGCUGCAAGGAUGUGUCAUCCACAUUCAUGUGGCUCCCGGGGCACCCUGAAGUUGUGCAGUGCACUACCUGCACAGACUCACUGCCUGCUCUGGCAGCCCUCACUCUGAGUGCUGUUCACUGGGACGUCAGGGCCAAGGACCCCAGUGGAGACUGCUUUGGGGAGUAAGAUGUGUGUGGUUUAGAAAGUUAUCCGCAGGCGUCCAUGUUUCCCCCAGUUCCUGCUCUCUGACAGCUGACGUGCCUCUUGGCUGCCUCUCUUCUCCCUCUUGACUUGGCCAUUGUCCACAAGUGCCAUGGAACAGACAGGAAGAAAAUCUGCCAUCACCAAGCAGCCACAACCCAUGAGAGGGACAGGGAAACAGGAGUGAUCGCGAAACUCCACCUCCUUUGUCCCGUGGUCCUGCUGAUCUCAUGGGCUCCCAACAUCUCCUGACGCACGCAGCCUCCCUGGGGGCCCUGAACAGAGUGUGGCUGGACUGGGCUUUCCCUGCAUCUGGGCACAAAGCUUGUCCUAGUGCAGUUCUGCUAGUGGUGUGUCCAGUGCUGAUGGAUUAGCAGUAGUCGUCUCCAUGGUGAUGAUAAGAGUGGGGUCAUUUAAAACUAUGAUUAUCUGAAACUGAUCUUAGUCGGCCUCCAAAGGCUUCAGGAGAAAGCUGCCUUUUCCUGAGAAGCCUUCAAGGGAGAGGUGAGAGUCCACAGUGUGGGGGGAACUGAAGGAGUGCUAGUGUGGAAGUGAGGUGUCUGUGUAAGGAAACUUAGCUUCUGUGAGGACCUGAGAAGGAAAGAAGAGAGAAAGAAAGAAAUGUAGACAUAGGUAAAAAGCACUGAAGGGUUGACUCAGACAUUCAGAAAUGAAAAACAAAACAGACUCUGGUUAAAUAUGGGUUAUGAAAAUGUUUCAGGAAAUCCCCCUCCUUUGCUGUUUUUCUUCAGUGUGAACUUAUCUCUUUUAUUGUUAUUUUUUUUAGUUGUGCAUGAACCUUUAUUUUUAUUUAUUUAUAUGCCUCCCACAUGCUAGGCAAGCGCUGUUCCACUGAGCUACAACUCCUGCCCCUCUUUUAUUCUUAACAAAAGUAUGAGUCAAGGAUAUGAUCAAAAUGCCCAUGAACUCACAAAGAUAAGUUAGAGACUGGAAUGGGAAAAGCUCCUGGUCUAAAUGCUUUUACAAAUGUGGGUUUGAAUCAAUUCUGACCUCUCAAAAGAAAGCAAACUCACUUUAGUUUCAUCAGUGCUACUUUGAUCAAACCCUAAUGCUGGGCUGGGCUCGUGGCUCAGUGGUGGAGUGCUUGCCUCACACAUGUAAGGCACUCGGUUCCAUUCUCAGCACUGUAUAUAAAUAAAUGAAUAAAAUAAAGACCCAUCAACAACUAAUUUUUUUUUAAAUAUUAAAAAAACACCCUCAUGCAGAUUGGCAGUCCCGGGUCAGUGCUGAGGAGCCCAGUGCUGUCCACUGGGCUCACUUGUGUGACUGUGCUGGCUUCUAAGCCAGGGCAUCUUCAGGGCAAGCUCAUACAUUAAUGCACCUUCAUAGUGUCUUUUCCUUUGUUUCACCUAAACUUUUGUGGAAAAUUUUGAAGAUCUAGCCAUGAUCCUCAGGACCAUGAGAUCACUCUAACUCUUCCCAUUUGGGCUCCUGGGUAAACUUGGAUCAUGUCGAAUAGAGGAUGCCCAGAAACACUGGCAUCCACUACCUUAAUGUGUCUGUCAUUUUAACCUUUUACUACGUGCUUUAUGACCUUGAGCUUGAAAUAGAGCCCUUUAUGAUUCAAAGUAACUUUAAAAUUAAAGGGAGCUUCCUGAUAAUUGCUUUUCUGCAUCUGGAGUUUCCUCCUGCUGAGAAUGGAAACUGAGAAGCCACCAGGGAACCCCCGCAGGUGCCCAGGAAACGCAUUGUGUCAAGUUUCUCAUUGGCAGACCCACUGCAUCUAUGUAUGGCCCUUUCCUGCCUCCUGUCCCCCUGUAUCCCCCUUCUCUUAUACAAGAUGUUCACACACCUGAGCCCCCCAGAGACUGAGGUUGGAGACAGACCCUCCCUGUCUCAAGGCCGACUUUGAAUAUGCCUAUUUUUCUUCACCAAAAUUUGUCUGAUGAAUUUUAGUGGAGUCCAGUGGUGGAAACUUUGUUCCCAGUAAUAGUUUUUGUUAAGCAUCAGGGAGAAAGAGUCCCCCACCCCUGGGCCCAGCAGUCUCCAUAGAGGAGACUAAUGACACUGAGGAAGAAAGGGGUGGACUGCUCACGGCUAGAGGAAAGUGCAGUGGGAAUUUCCGGGGAAUCCCAGGAGCUGCCUGGACAUCUUCCAUCCCAGUUACUCCCUUCUUUACCGCUGCAGCAUCAAAUGCCUGUACAGUUUUGUUGGUAAAAGAGGAAGGUUUCAGAAAACAGAUGGGUUCCAGCCUGGAGAGCCACUGUAGGGUGCCCCUGAGAAUUUGAUCUGCACUAUUAGCGCCUGAAAUAAGCCCUUCACCCUCCAUUGGGUAGCCAUUUGGGGGCUUCACCUGGGAAUGUGUAUAAAAUGCUGACAGCCAAAUUCCCAGCUGUUUUGUCUUUUUGAGGAGAACCAUGUGGUUUGAUUUUGGUUUCAUUUCUUGUUUUUCUCCAUGAUUAAAAAGGAGUUAGUAUCCACUGUAACACUGCAUGUCUGUACAUCUAAAAGCACACUCUGAUUCAGGCAGCUGUUUUGUUUGUUACUUGACAACUGACUUGAAAAAGGCCAAAAUGUGAUGGCUGCAGGACAGACUUAUCUGCAUAAAUCUUCAGAGGAACAUACCCCACUCCCCAUUCCGGCCACUUGUCCAGGAGGAGUAAGUAGUUAUGGCCUGGUCUCCCCGGUACCUUGAGCUGGCACACAUACCCCUUGGUGUAUAGGGCUUUCUUAGAUGCAAAGAAGGAAUCUUCAGCUCAUAGUGAAACAUUAGGGAGGACUUCCUAAAAGCAGCAUAUUUAACUGACCAACACUUUUGACAUUUCAUUAGCAUGACUCUUUCUUCAGUCAUCAGAAAAGCCUCAAAAAAAAAAAAAGCAAAACUUAAUUAAAACAUACCAGAGCAAACAGCCCAGGGUCCUCGAAAUCUCUCUCCCUGGGAUACCCAGGAUAACUUUAGUAUGAACUCCUAUUUUGUUUACUUUGUUUAAUACACUUUUUGAUUCUAUGUACUUAAAUUGCUUAUUUUGUUUUAUUUUCAAAACACCCUUAUUAAAAAAGAUUCAUGUUAAUUUAAAGACUCUGUUUGUCAUUGCUUAAAAAAUGAAAUGAAUGUUAAUUAGCUUCCAGUGAAAACUAAUUGCAAGCCUGUUUUCAUUUGAUUUUAAUGUUCCUUCUAAAAAAUUCUCUGGAAACAAACAUCAGUCCCUUUUUUAAUGUAGAGUAGAAAAUGAGUUUAUGUGGUGUUGCUUGUAGAACAACUCAGAAACUUUCCAUUUAUGGUUUCUGUACAAACUACCUGUGUUUUACUUUUCUAAUCAGCGAAGUGUUUCACUUCUUUCUUUUAUAAAAUGCCCCUCAAAGUGAUUAAAUGUCUCUUGUGCUCUGAUGAUAUCCAGAGCCUAGUUUGCUGCAGUUAAAUGUUGUAGAAUCUUUUUCACUAGAAAAAGGACUAUUUCUUUUGGCAGUGAAUGUAGAUCUAUGUUUCUAAUUUGAUUUCAUAUCUGUUUACUUCUUCUGGAUUUGUAUUACUUUUAAAUGUCUUUUACUUUCUACCUCAAGACAUAGGAUAGUAAUGUCUUUUAAUGCUUUUAUUUUUUGUGCAUUAUAAUUAUACAUAACGGUGGGACUCUUUGUUACAUAUUGGUAAAUGUGCACAAUAUACCGAUAUGAAUCGUUCAGCGGAAUCCCCAGGUCUGCCCUGUUGCUUUUCCUCCUCUCUCCCCUGGGGCCUCUCUUCCACUUUACUGGACUCCUUUCAGUUUUCAUGAUAGCCCACCUCGGCUUCUUUCCCUUUUUCCUCUCUAGUUCCACAUGUGAGAGAAACCCUACAAACCCUGACUUUCUGAGUUGAAUUAUUUUGCUUAACAUAACGUUCUUAAGUUUUACCCAUUCUCCUGCAAAUGACAUAAUUUCAUUUUUCUUAAUGACUGAAUAAAGCUCAUGUGUGUGUGUGUGUGUGUGUGUGUGUGUGUGUGUGUGUUUGCUUAGAACUGCUUUAGCUAUUCUGGGUCUUUUAUUCUUCCAAAUGAAUUUGAGGGUGGUGUUUGCUAGUUCUGUGAAGACUGUUAUUGCUAGGUUGAUGGGGAUUGCAUUGAAUCUGUAUAUUGCUUUUGGUAAUAUGUCCAUUUAGCAAUGUUAAUCCUGCGUAUCCAUAAACAUGGGAAGUCUUUCCAUCUUCUUGUGUCUUCUUCAAUUUCUUUCCUCAAUAUUCCAUGGUUUUCAUUGUAGAAGUCUUUCAGCCCCUUGGUUAGACUUAUUCGUAGAUAUUUUACUUUAUUGUUUUGAGGCUAUUGUGAAUGGGAUUGUUUUCCUGGUUUCUUUCUCAGAAGAUAUCAUAUAGGUAUAUAGGAAAGCUAUUUAUUUUUGUAUGUUGAUUUUGUAACCUACUUUGAUUAAUUUAUUUAUUUUGCAGUCUUUUGGUGGAACUUUUUGGACCCUUCUAAGUAUAGGACCAUAUCAUCUGCAAACAGUGAUGUUUGACAUUUUCCUUUCCUAUUAUUAUCCUUUUUAUUUCCUUCUCUUGCCUAACUGCUCUGGCUAGAAUUUCUAGUAAUAUAUAAAUUGGAGUGGUGAUAGUGGGCAUCCUUGUCUUGGUCCAGAUUUUAAAGGGAAUGCUUUCGUUUUUUUCCCAGUUACUAUGAUGUUGGUUUUGGGUUUUUCAUAUAUAGCUUUUAUGAUGCAGAGCUAGGUUCAUCUAUUCCUAGUUUUUCUUCAGUAUUUUUACUGUAAAUGGAUGCUGAAAUUUGUCAAAGGCUUUCUUUGCAUAUAUUGAGAUGACUAAGAUUUUUUGGUCCUUAAUUCUAUUUAUGUGAUAAAUUACAUUUAUUGAUUUCCAUAGAUUAAAACAUCCUUACAUCUCUGGGGUAAAACCAAUUUUUACAUGAAGUAAAAUCUUAAUAUGUUGUUGAAUACUAUUUACUAAUAUUAUAUUAAGGAUUUUUGCAUCUAAAUUAAUCAGGGAUAUUGGUUUGUAGUUUUCUUUCCUUGAUAUGUUAUUAUCUAGUUUGGGUAUGAGUAUGAUACUAGCUUCAUGGAAUGAAUUGGAAGUGUUCCAUUCCUUUCCAUUUUGUGGAAUGAUUUGAGGAGCAUUGGCCUUAGUGCUUCUUUAUAGGUCUGGUCGAAUUCAGCUGAGAAUCCAUCUGGUCCUGGGUUCUUAUUUUUGGAAUUUUUUUUUAUUACUGGUUUAUCUCAUUGCUAGUUAUCAACGUGUUUAAUUUUUCUAUGUCCUCUUGAUUCAAUUUUGGUAGAUCAUAUGAGUCUAGAAUUUUAUCCAUUUCUUCUAUUUGUUGGGGUAUAAUUUCUCAAAAUGGUCCCUAAUGAUGCUCUAAAAUUUCUGUGAUGUCUGUGGUAAUAUUUCCUUUUUUAUCUUUAAUUUUAUUAAUUUGGGUCUUUCUCUUUUUCUUUUGGUUAGUUUGGCUAAAGCUUUAUCAAUCUUGUUUUUUUUUUCUUUUCAAAAAAAACUUUUUUUAUUUCAUAGAUUCUUUGUAUUAUUUUAAAAUUCUUUCUCUUAUUGAUUUUAGCUCUAAUUGUAAGUAUUUCCUUCCUUUUUACUGGUUUUGGAUUUUUUUUUCUUGUUUUUCUAGGGCCUUGUGAUGCAUCAGUAGUUUUUUUUUUUUUAAUUUGGGAUCUUCCUGAUUUUUUAAUGUAAAUACUCAUAGUUGUAAAUUUAUUCUUAGAACCACCUUCAUAGUAUCCUAGCACAUCUAUUACGUUGUGUCACUAUUCUUGUUUGAUUCUAAGAGUUUUAAAAUUUCUCCCCUGAUCUCCUCUAUCCAUAAUUUAAAAAAUGAAUUGUUCAAAUUCACAUGUUCAUAUACUUCCUCUAGCUUUGUGGUUGUUGAUUUUUAAUUUUAUUCCAUUAUGAUUUGAUAAAAUGCAAGGGAUUAUUUUGAUUUUUUUAUUUAGUAAGAGUUGCUUUAUGGCUAAAAAUAUGAUCUGUUUUGGAGAUUAUUCCAGGAGUAGCUGAGAAGAAAGUUAAUUCAGCUGUUAUUUGAUGAAAUAUUCUGUAGAUGUCUGAUUUGUAAUACUUUUUAGGUGAAAAGAAUGUUAACUGAGUUUAUGUCUGGAUGACUAUCUAUUGGUGAAAGGUAUGUUGAAAUCACCUAAUAUUUUGUACUUGGGUCUAUCUGAGUCUUUAGGUUAAGUAGUGUCUGUUUUAUGUAAUUAGGCACACCAACAUUUGAAGAAUGAAUAUGUACUAUUGUUAUAUCUUCUUGUUGGAUUGUUCCCUUUACCAUUAUAAAGUGACCUUCUAUGUCUCUUCUGAUUAAUUUUGGCUUGAAGUCAUCUUUGAGUUCAAGCUAUCUAUGAGUUGCCACUACUGCUUGUUUUGUUUUAAUUGUGUUUGCACAAUAUAUCAAUUUCCAUCCCUUCAUUUUCAACCUUUGCCUAAGGUGAGUCUCUUACAAACAACUUAAGUUGGUUGGUUCUUGUAUUCUGGCUCAUUCUACCAGCCUGUGUCUUUUAAUUUGAGCAUUUAGAUCAUUUAGAGUCAGGUUAUUAUAUAGAGAUGUUUAUUAAUUCCUGCUAUUUUGAUUUAUUUCUAAUGUUUAAUUUGGUUUUAGUUUUCAUUUGCUUACUACUCUUCAAAUGAUAUUUGUCCCUUUGCAAGAUCUGGAGUUUGUUUUUGAUUUUCUCAUUGUGUAAUAUUUAUUUAAGUAUUUUCUGUAGUAGUGACUUAGUAGUAUUCCUGGAUUCUUUAAACUUUUGCUUAUAUUGGAAGGUUUUUUUAAUUUCCUUUUUAAUUCUAAAGGAUAGGUUUGCUGGAUAUAACAAACUUGACACAGUUAUUUUGUUUCAGAGGUUGGAGUACAUCAUUCUGAGUCAUCCUGGACUUUAGAGCUUGUACUGAGAAAUUAGCAGUAAUUUUGAUUGGAUAGAUUCUAAAUGUGACCUGACAUUUUUCUUCUGAGACUUAAAGUUCUGUUUUUGUUGUGUAUGCUAGGAAUUUAAAUUAUAUUGUGUCAUGAGUCCUUAUUUUUUCGUUAUUGGGGAGUGAUUCCAGGAGAGUUUAACCACUGAGCCACAUCCCUAUCUCUUUUUUUUAUAUUUUAUUUUGAGAUAGGGUCUCACUGAAUUACUUAAGGCCUUGCUAAGUUGCUGAGGUUGGCUUUGAACUUGUGAUCCUCCUGCCUCUGCCUCCAGAGCCAUGGGAUAAUAGGCAUGCACCAUCAUGCCCAGCUGGAGUGCUUUUUGAUCUUGUCUAUUUAGGGUUUUGCAUGCCUCCUGUGUUUGGAUGUUGAUAUCAUUCCCAAGGUUUGGGAAACUUUCUGUUACUGUUUCCCUGAAUUAACCCAUUCCAUUUGCCUACAUUUUCAACCCUCUUGGUUACAGUGGUUCUUAAAUUCAGUCUCUUAAUAUUGUCCCAGUGUUCUUAUAUAUUAUGGCCAUGUUUGUUUAUUUUCUUUUCUUUAAUACUGUCUGUGUUCCAAGUCAGUCACUUUGUCUUCUGUGUGGUCUGCUGUAUUAGAGAGACUUUCAACUGAACAUUUUAUUUGACUUAUUGUACCUUUCAUUUCAAAGAUUUGUUUGCUUUUUCAACGUUUCUAUCUCAUUGCAUUUCUCAUUCUUAACCUGUAAUAGCAUCCUUAAUUGAAUCAGUUAUUUUUAAGUGUUCUGUUGGAAUUCAUUGAUAAUUUUUUUAAUAAUAAUUCUUUUGAAUUCUUUAUCAGGUAUUUCCUCCACUUAAAUACCUUGGAGUCAGCUGCUGGUGUCAUGUUACUUUGUAUUUUCAUAUUUCUUAUAUUCCUGUGAUGGGUUUUGUGCAUCUGUCGGAAUAUGUUUCUCUUCUAUGCUUAGGUAUAGACCUUUUUGGGAUGCAGCCUUCUUUUGGCAAAGUGUUAAGGUAUAUUGUGUGUGUGUGUGUGUGUGUGUGUGUGUUGUGAAAUUUUCAAUGUAUUUCCAAGUGGAUUUUAUAGUAUAGUUUCCUUGCUUUUUUUUUUUUUUUGGUAAUGAUUAGUGUAUUUUGAUACAGUCUGUAUUGUGUCAGAGCUUGAGGAUACCACUGUCCUGGUUGGUCUCACAGGAGUGGGAUCUUUCUUUUUGAUCUGGCAAUUGUGUUGUACACAGCAGGCUAUGUAAGGCACACGUGUCAUGAUUGCUCUUCUUCAGUUAACAACUCUGUACAUUCUACAAAGGAAUGGUAACAGCCUUAAUUGAGACUGUUCAUAGGUGUGGUUUCCACAGGCUAUACUAAUUCUGUUUUUGCUGUACGAAUAAUGUCCAUGAGUGGGACCUGAGUGCCCCAUGGAGCCAUUCUUACUUGGGGCCUGGUCAUUGGUUUGGGGGUUUUGUCUAACCUAUUCUUUGUAUUCAAGUGUCCUUGAAAUUUGAGUAUGGUUAAUUUGUGUGGGGAAUAAGGUGCUAUCUCUUGGCUGGGUUUUGGGUGAAGUUUAGCAGAAAAGUCUCUACCCUUGAAACUUGUAGUGUCCCAGGAGAUUCCCAGCACCUCAUAGAAGGGGAAGGGACAAAUAAUAGCAGCAAAUAACUUACAAUAUUAAUAUAAAUUCCUAGUGCCUCCUAUAAUAGCUAAACACUAAUUAUAACAAAACCAGGAAUGGUGGGACCAGAAAUUGACAGCAGAAACAAUAAUAGUUUUGAACUAGAUCUGGCACUAGAGUGAACAGUAGGGGUCUACUGUGCCAUCCUCAACAACAUGAAUGGCAGGGCAGGACAAAAGGUCAGAAUGUUCAAAAUUGUGAACCGAGAGAAAGCAGAAGAGAUGUAGCAAGUGAUGGCUAUAAAGACAGAGGAGAAAAAAUAAAUAGGAGGAACAAAGUAAAUAGAAAGAGAAAAAGAGAGAACAAGAGCAUUUGGCCAGUAGAGGGAUAAGAAAGAAGAAAAAGAAAAGCAAUUAACUGAAAAAAAUAAAUAAUACCUCUAACCCUAAAAGACAAAACAGUGAAACAAACAACAACAACAGCAAAACAAAUAAAAAUGAUUAAAAAGGAAACUUAUCUAGCUAUAUAACUCCAUAAGCAAGUCAACACAGCAACAACAACAACAACACACACUCACAAUCUUGAUCAAACAUGAAAUGGUUUCUCCACUGAGGUGGUCAGAACUGUGGCAAGGAUGGAUGCCAGAAUUGUCUUUUCUGUUUUUUUCUUGAGCUAUGUACCCCUAAGAACCAGGGAUGGGGGUUGUUAACCCCUUCCUCUUUUUGAGUUACUUACUAAGCUGCCGGCUGGACAGGCCUGGAGCUGAGGCUGGUAUAAGGUAGGACAUAAUGGGAAGUACUGUCACUUGGAGUGUGGUCUGGACAGACCAGAUUGGUGCACUCCCAGGGCGGGGUUGGUGCAGAGUUCUAACUGAAAGGUCCUGUGGCUGGAAUUUAGCUUUAUUCAGGCCUUUGGAUUUGGUGUUAUCUUUUCUGCUCUGAGAUUAGAUCAGCACAGACCUAGGCAGGCAGAUGCCAAUCUCUACUGGGCAUCUAGAUCUCAAUGGCCUCCAGAGAUCUGCACUUGUAGGGCAGGGGAGUCAACCCUCAACAGGCCUCCCACGUUUCAACACCCACAAGUGUGGCCUUCCCAGGCUCAGUCCCCAUGUUUACAUACACCCACGAGUUCAGACCCUCUUCAGCAGCUGGACUCAAAGGGAAAGUGAGUUAUACUCUCCUCCGAGUCUCAGACUUCAAUCCCCUGGGUCCAGGCUCUGGGCCUGCUUCACUCACUUUCUGCUAGGUACUCCUGGCCACACGGCUGGCACCUGCCAGCACAGCAUGGCAGUGUUUGCUAGGGUUUCCUGGUUCCCCGGCAGCAAGCUGCAGUGUGGCCUCAAGAUGGCUCCUACCUCACCUCUCCACUUGCCAAUUGAGAAACAGAACACUUUUCAAAUAGGAGUGCAGCCUCCAGACCAGCUAAGUUCAGGCUGCUUUUCUGUUCUACAGGUUUUUCUGUGCCCAUUUUCUUUUGUUUUCUGUUUAUGGUAUCCCUCCCCCUGAUGUGACUGGCAGGGCUGCCGCUGCUGGCUUGGCUCCAGUGUACUCUUUCAUGUCCUUUAUUCAAUGCGUCUGAAUUUCUGGGUCUCUAAGAGUCUCUGUCCAAUAUUGAAUUUCAAUGCAUUCCCUUUUUCACCCACCUCACUGAGAACUAGUACACCUGCUGCUUGGAUUCUGAGCCACAGAGAGACUGGAAAGUCAAACUUCCUCUAAUCUAACAUCUUGAAUCUCUUAAGUUUGGGAGUUUAUUGUUAAAAUCUUACAUUAAAAGAUUUUUAAGGAUUGAUGUAUGUCUCUCUUAUAGACAGGAGUCUUGAAAAAUAAUGAGUAUUAGCCAGGUGUGGUGGUGUACACCUAUAAUCUCAGUGAUUCAGGAGGUUUGAGGCAGGAGGAUUGCAAAUUCAAGGCCAGUAUUAGCAUGUUAGUGAGACCCUGUCUCAAAAAAUAAAAAGGUCUGGGAUUGCAGUUCAGUGGUAAAGAGUCCCUGGAUUCAGGGCUGAGGUUGUAGCUUAGUGGCAGAGCACUUGGUGCUGGGUUCAAUCCUUAGCACCACAUAAAAAAUAAAAUAAAGGUCUUGUGUCUUAUCUCCUUAUAUCGCCUGUAGACCUCACAGUUCCUGGUCUCUAAAAUGUAUCUCACUCACCCUUUCCCUUUCUACUUCCUAACAGGGACCUUUGUUUCCAGAGGUCUUGUGGGUUGUGCUCUGGGGACUGCACACCUGUCUUGUAGAGCUAUUUUGUACUGGGAAGUCACUAUGCUGGGUUAACAGCUGCUGGGAAGAGCGGGGAAUUGGGGAUUAUAGGUACCUGCCCAGCCGGUGUUCCAAACUGGGAGUUGCCCCAACUAAAGAUGACAACAAAGGUGACCCAAGAUGGAGACGGCUGCUUUCAGCAAUGGGAGUUGGGUUGGGUUGUGGGGGCUAGGCAAUGGCAUUGGGUGACGUGUUCAGAGAUGAGCUCUGUGGCGUGCAGGGUUGUGGCUGUCGGCUGUCUUCAGUUCCUAUGCAAUGUCUCCAGUGCAGGCAGGCUGCCCUACGUAGGAGACUAUGGCAGUGGCCGCAGAAUCCCAAGAUGGAGGUGAUCUGGGGAGUCCCACAUUGGUAAAUGGGGGUCCACACAGGAGUGGCAGCCAGAGUUCCUGUGUGUGGGUAGCAGCCGAGUGUUCUGCAUGGGAUCAGCGUCUGGGAUUCUUGCUCAGGAGGAUGGCCAGGAGUCCUGUGUGGGUGCUGAUUCCAGUGGUCCCGCUCAGGCACCCGGGAGCCCUGUGUGGGCGAGUAGUUGGGGUUUCUGCUCUGAUGCUUAGAACUGGAACCCUGCUCGGGAGCAGCUGUGGGGGUCCCUCUAUCACUCCCAGAGAAGCAGUAUUCCCAGGUCAUGGAGUGACCAAUGCUCCUCCCUCUAGCCUGCAAUCUUGGAUCCCUGGGAUCUGUUUUAUUGAUACAAAUAUCUAACACUUUAAAAACCCCAUAGUCUGGAUACAAUGGUGUAAAUCAUGAUUACUAUCUUGACAUACUGUCAAGGCAACUAAAUCUUUUUGGUAGGUUGUUAAGCUCUCUAUGUAAUAAUAAUCUUCUGUAUUAUUCUUGUCAUUUUAGAUAACAUGAGCCAUGUCUCUAGUUAAGGGGCAAACUUUAUUCAUCUGCUAUCUCAAGAAGAAUUUAAGGUUAAAAGUUUGGGUAUAAAACAUGUUCAAGACUGGCUAUUUUAAAAGGGGUUUCUCAGUUAUACUGUAUGCAUUGCAACUUGGCUUACAAAGAACAUUUAAAUAUAUACACACAUACCCAUGCAUACAUAUAUGUAUGUAUUCUUAAUUGGAAAAUAAACGUUGAUUCUUAUAGCCUGUAUUAAAUUUUUUUUUCUUUUACAAUUCCAUGUAAUGUACCUAAAUUCUAAAGAUGAAAAUGUGAGGAUUAGUUUUCUACACAAUGAAAUUAACCUUAGUGUGUAUCAGGUAGCUAGCUAACAGACAGUCUUUGAUACAAAUCUCUGACAGACUACUUCUAGAGACAAGUUGGUUUUCUUUGAUUAGAUAAAUAUAUUAGAAUUAAAGAGAUUAUCAACUCAAAUCUACUAUGCUGACUGGAUUUGCUUUGUUCUUAUUAUUCUCUGUCUUUCAGAGCUUUUAAAUAUUUCAGGCUUUGUUUCCUUUAGGAACAAGUAUCUGGAUCCUUAUACAGUGGAGUUCCAUGAUGGGAUCUACACACCAAUACAACAAUAAACUGUCGCCAGGUGACAUGACACCACAAGGCCGCAGGAUGGAGGGAUAACCAAACAGGGGCAAACUGAAACAGAGCCCCUUUAAAACUAAAAGCAACUUUAAACAGAACUUCCUGAUAACUGCUUUUUGGCAUGUGGAGUUUCCUCCCGCUGAGAGUGGACACGGGAAGCCUCCGCCUAGCCCCAGGUACUAAUGAAAUGAACUGUGACAUGUUUCUGAUUAGCACAGCCCAACUGAAUCUGCACAUGUACAUUUCCGGCCCUUUGACCCACCAUCCACCUGUCCUCUGAUGAAAGCUGUCUGUACACCUCAGCUGCUGCAAGAUGGAUCUUGGAGAAAGAAUGGCC
RNAcentral lists this long non-coding RNA (18609 nucleotides) under Marmota monax (woodchuck). The stretch from base 3185 to 3257 matches the Rfam family "tRNA". Lineage: Eukaryota; Metazoa; Chordata; Mammalia; Rodentia; Sciuridae. The record is from RNAcentral.